AAAAAAUAAAAAUAAAAAUUUAUAUUCCACUAAACUGGAAAAAAAUCUGAAAGAAACAGGAUGAGUUUCUGGAUGUGAAUGACCUGUCAAAGUGAAACCAAGACAGGAAAAAAAAAGAUUUACACAGAUCUGUAGCAACCAGCCAGAUAGAACUAGAAGCAGUAAUUAAAAAUUCCCCAACUAAAAAAAGCCCAGGCCAGAUGGAUUCAGUGCAGGAUUCUACCAGCCUUUCAAAGAACACACAGCAGCGUUCCUCAAACUGUAAUGUAAAAUAUGAAAGAGGGAGCAUUUCUAGAGUCUUCAGCCAGGGUGCCCUGCAAAGCCGCCCUUGUGUCCUCUCCCAACAACUUUGACUCAAGUUCCUCGAGACAGGCUGUUGUCUGACAGAGUCUGUCUAGGACCCAGGAGAGCCACCACAGCCAAGGGAAGACAGGUAAGUUGGAUGCAGCACGUAGCAAUGAAGUUGGAAGUGAAAUGUCCUGGAAGCCAAAGGCACUUAUUUCAGACUCCAGGGAAGCAAGCCGUUGGCAAAUCCGAAAUAUUUAGAAGCUUGGUGUGUCUGCAUGUUGAAAUAUUUAGAAGCUUGGUGUGUCUGCAUGUUGGUGUGUCUACAUGGACUAGAAGGUAGAGAAGGUUCGGGAUGGGCUGAAGUGAGCCCAUCCACAGAGUGCUUCAUGGUAGGGGAGGAGCUGGGUUUUAUCUGCAAACGAAAUGGCAGGAGGAAGAUUCAAGAUGCUCAUGCCUGCUCAGGGCACAGGGCAGGAGAAAGCCAUGUCAAGAUCAAGGUCCCGUACAGUUCACAUGUAUUCAUUCUUCUUUGUCACUUUCCAGAGGGGUUGUGGGUAUUGUGGGUUGCCCUAGUGCUGUUUAUAUUCUGAUGUUAAUUCUACUCCCUCAAGAGGGCCUGCCCCCCCCCCUCCCCCAGGAGGAGUAGAUUACAUAAUGUUGAGCCCAGGUUAAAAAAAGAAAGAAGGAAAGAAAGAAAGAAAGAAAGAAAGAAAGAAAGAAAGAAAGAAAGAAAGAAAGAAAGAAAGGAAGGAAGGAAGGAAGGAAGAAAGGAAGAAAGAAAGGAAGAAACCCAAAGAGACCACCAGGAACCACAACUCUGAUGCAAGC
RNAcentral lists this long non-coding RNA (1116 nucleotides) under Mus musculus (house mouse). RNAcentral describes it as "long non-coding RNA chr5:112649153-112650269". Lineage: Eukaryota; Metazoa; Chordata; Mammalia; Rodentia; Muridae. The record is from RNAcentral.